RNAcentral lists this ribosomal RNA (250 nucleotides) under uncultured bacterium. Its description in RNAcentral is "partial 16S ribosomal RNA". It matches the Rfam family "Bacterial small subunit ribosomal RNA", at positions 83 to 334 of the family's 1533-position model. The record is from RNAcentral.
CGGAGAUGGCGACCGGCGCACGGGUGAGUAACACGUAUCCAACCUGCCGAUAACUCGGGGAUAGCCUUUCGAAAGAAAGAUUAAUACCCGAUGGUAUAAUCAGACCGCAUGGUCUUGUUAUUAAAGAAUUUCGGUUAUCGAUGGGGAUGCGUUCCAUUAGGCAGUUGGUGAGGUAACGGCUCACCAAACCUUCGAUGGAUAGGGGUUCUGAGAGGAAGGUCCCCCACAUUGGAACUGAGACACGGUCCAA